UCUCUUUUCUUAGUGUCUAGGCCAAAAUGGGCAUGACAGACGAGUUUGAAGCUUCUUUAUAAGUACUAUGGGGAUUUGAUACUGACAUUUCUUUUGAAGUGAAUGAAAUCAAGAGAUCUGGAACUUCUUCAAGCAGGAGAACAACCAUCUGAUUUUCUGAUCUCAAGCAAAGAAGAUAUUAGUUUCCAUUCCAUGAUAUAUGUUCAUCGAGUUGAAGGAGGCAGAGGUUCUGAAGAAACAGCUGCAAAAGAAUGAAGAUUUUGGAUUUUGGGGGCAUUUGACAAAAAAAAUUUAAAAAAAGAAAGAAAGAAAAAGAG
Molecule: long non-coding RNA, 317 nt
Organism: Magnolia sinica
Lineage: Eukaryota; Viridiplantae; Streptophyta; Magnoliopsida; Magnoliales; Magnoliaceae
Exons: 3
Source: RefSeq, a predicted model, not a curated record